AUUGAACGCUGGCGGCAGGCCUAACACAUGCAAGUCGAGCGGAUGAAGGGAGCUUGCUCCUGGAUUCAGCGGCGGACGGGUGAGUAAUGCCUAGGAAUCUGCCUGGUAGUGGGGGAUAACGUCCGGAAACGGGCGCUAAUACCGCAUACGUCCUGAGGGAGAAAGUGGGGGAUCUUCGGACCUCACGCUCUCAGAUGAGCCUAGGUCGGAUUAGCUAGUUGGUGGGGUAAAGGCCUACCAAGGCGACGAUCCGUAACUGGUCUGAGAGGAUGAUCAGUCACACUGGAACUGAGGCACGGUCCAGACUCCUACGGGAGGCAGCAGUGGGGAAUAUUGGACAAUGGGCGAAAGCCUGAUCCAGCCAUGCCGCGUGUGUGAAGAAGGUCUUCGGAUUGUAAAGCACUUUAAGUUGGGAGGAAGGGCAGUAAGUUAAUACCUUGCUGUUUUGACGUUACCAACAGAAUAAGCACCGGCUAACUUCGUG
This 484-nucleotide ribosomal RNA is filed under the name uncultured bacterium. Its description in RNAcentral is "partial 16S ribosomal RNA". It matches the Rfam family "Bacterial small subunit ribosomal RNA", at positions 30 to 507 of the family's 1533-position model. The record is from RNAcentral.